CCCUAGUCUAAUAGCGAGUUCAGCGAACACCGGUUUGCUACAGAUGCAAAAAUCUUAACGCAUGUGUGGGGAAAGCGGGCGUAAAAAAAAGUCACCAUUCAGAAAAAAAAAGAAAAAGAAAAAAUCUCCAGUGUUUCACAACAGAUCUCAUCCUGUUACCAUAGUUAUAGCUUUCUAUACAAGAAAGGUAUAGUGCUAUCGUGUGCCCUUACACAAAUGCAUGUACAGACAAAAACAGAGACUGCUAAAUAUUUGCGUGUUGUGCAGAACCAGUGCACAGGGAUACGGCUCCCUGUACGGGAAUACAGUUCGGAGACUCCUAAGGCAUUUUUCUCGUUUUACAAAUUAUGACGGCUCAGAGGGCUGGGUACAUGAUCUCAUCUGCCCGGUGCUCGAAGGAAGGAGAAGGAAAGGGACCAGUGCAGAUGCGUAAGAAGGAAAGAAAGAAGCACCUUCUGAUCAGGUUAUUUUGUGCUCAGAAUUGCACGGAAACUUCGCUCCAGCAGGUAUUCAGAAGAAAUAUAACUAACGAACAAACUUGGUGGAGAAAGUCCUUAAAGCUUUUAUUCCUUCCUAGGCUUCCUGCAGCAUCGCAUCUUCAGCUAUGGCCUUAUUCAGAAAGAAGCCCAGACUUUGGACCAGGCCCCUGCGUCGUACAGACUUAGCAGGAGGGACCRACUUCUUGUGCGUGUGGCUUGUACAGCACAGAGCACCUGGCGCUUAACAAGUGGUAAGUAAUAAUAAUAACCGUCCACUAACUGCAUAACUGUUUUAAGUAUCUCACGUAAGUGGAUAACUUGAUUUGUAAAUAAACUACAUUUCAGGAAUAUUUCA
Molecule: long non-coding RNA, 834 nt
Filed under: Dromaius novaehollandiae (emu)
Lineage: Eukaryota; Metazoa; Chordata; Aves; Casuariiformes; Dromaiidae
Description: lncRNA (ENSDNVG00000011924.1)
Source: RNAcentral